This 858-nucleotide ribosomal RNA is filed under the name Actinomyces pacaensis. RNAcentral describes it as "bacterial SSU rRNA". It matches the Rfam family "Bacterial small subunit ribosomal RNA", at positions 595 to 1449 of the family's 1533-position model. The record is from RNAcentral. Lineage: Bacteria; Bacillati; Actinomycetota; Actinomycetes; Actinomycetales; Actinomycetaceae.
UGAAAUCCUCUGGCUCAACUGCGGGCGUGCAGUGGGUACGGGCUGGCUUGAGUGCGGUAGGGGAGGCUGGAACUCUGGUGUAGCGGUGGAAUGCGCAGAUAUCAGGAAGAACACCGGUGGCGAAGGCGAGUCUCUGGGCCGUUACUGACGCUGAGGAGCGAAAGCGUGGGGAGCGAACAGGAUUAGAUACCCUGGUAGUCUACGCUGUAAACGUUGGGCACUAGGUGUGGGGGCCACCCGUGGUUCCCGCGCCGUAGCUAACGCUUUAAGUGCCCCGCCUGGGGAGUACGGCCGCAAGACUAAAACUCAAAGGAAUUGACGGGGGCCCGCACAAGCGGCGGAGCAUGCGGAUUAAUUCGAUGCAACGCGAAGAACCUUACCACGGCUUGACAUGUGCCCCGGGCGCGCGGAGACGCGCGCACAUUUGGUUGGGGGUGUGCAGGUGGUGCAUGGUUGUCGUCAGCUCGUGUCGUGAGAUGUUGGGUUAAGUCCCGCAACGAGCGCAACCCUUCCCCUAUGUUGCCAGCGCGUUGUGGCGGGGACUCGUGGGGGACUGCCGGGGUUAACUCGGAGGAAGGUGGGGAUGACGUCAAAUCAUCAUGCCCCUUAUGUCUUGGGCUUCACGCAUGCUACAAUGGCCGGUACAGAGGGUUGCGAUGCCGUGAGGCGGGGCGAAUCCCUUAAAGCCGGUCUCAGUUCGGAUUGGGGUCUGCAACUCGACCCCAUGAAGGUGGAGUCGGUAGUAAUCGCAGAUCAGCAUCACUGCGGUGAAUACGUUCUCGGGCCUUGUACACACCGCCCGUCACGUCACGAAAGUUGGUAACGCCCGAAGCCCAUGGCCCAACCGGCUCUUGCUGG